This 280-nucleotide ribosomal RNA is filed under the name Bacillus sp. PR5. RNAcentral describes it as "partial 16S ribosomal RNA". It matches the Rfam family "Bacterial small subunit ribosomal RNA", at positions 1 to 269 of the family's 1533-position model. Lineage: Bacteria; Bacillati; Bacillota; Bacilli; Caryophanales; Bacillaceae. RNAcentral also lists the same sequence under 1 other name. The record is from RNAcentral.
UUAUUGGAGAGUUUGAUCCUGGCUCAGGAUGAACGCUGGCGGCGUGCCUAAUACAUGCAAGUCGAGCGAAUGGAUUAAGAGCUUGCUCUUAUGAAGUUAGCGGCGGACGGGUGAGUAACACGUGGGUAACCUGCCCAUAAGACUGGGAUAACUCCGGGAAACCGGGGCUAAUACCGGAUAACAUUUUGAACCGCAUGGUUCGAAAUUGAAAGGCGGCUUCGGCUGUCACUUAUGGAUGGACCCGCGUCGCAUUAGCUAGUUGGUGAGGUAACGGCUCACC